UCCCUAGUGGCUUAGAGGGUAAAGCGUCCGCCUGCAAUGUGGGAGACCGGGGAAGAUCCCCUGGAGAA
Molecule: transfer RNA, 68 nt
Filed under: Capra hircus (goat)
Lineage: Eukaryota; Metazoa; Chordata; Mammalia; Artiodactyla; Bovidae
Also listed under: 1 other name
Rfam family: tRNA
About the family: Transfer RNA (tRNA) molecules are approximately 80 nucleotides in length. Their secondary structure includes four short double-helical elements and three loops (D, anti-codon, and T loops).
Source: Rfam by way of RNAcentral